AUGUUGUUGCCAGCGCUUUCCCGGGCCGAGCCGGAAUUCUUUAUUAGAAUGUCGGCAGGCAAAGCCCGAAGGAAGGCUGCUAUCCCCUCGGCCUUCUUCCUUUUCGAUGAAAAACAAAUCAAUCUCCGAAAGCGUUUUCCUUACCCAGCCCCCCCUUCGUCGAGCCUUUCCUUUAGUGGUAAGGGAUAUGCACCUUAUCUGAACGUCGGCAGGCAUUCCAGAAUUCUCCUUUUUUGGCCCCGGGGUUGGUUCAACCGACUAUAA
This 264-nucleotide ribosomal RNA is filed under the name Triticum aestivum (bread wheat). RNAcentral describes it as "partial small subunit ribosomal RNA". The record is from RNAcentral. Lineage: Eukaryota; Viridiplantae; Streptophyta; Magnoliopsida; Poales; Poaceae.